AUUGAACGCUGGCGGCAGGCCUAACACAUGCCAGUCGAGCGGAUGAAGGGAGCUUGCUCCUGGAUUCAGCGGCGGACGGGUGAGUAAUGCCUAGGAAUCUGCCUGGUAUUGGGGGAUAACGUCCGGAAACGGGCGCUAAUACCGCAUACGUCCUGAGGGAGAAAGUGGGGGAUCUUCGGACCUCACGCUAUCAGAUGAGCCUAGGUCGGAUUAGCUAGUUGGUGGGGUGAAGGCCUACCAAGGCGGCGAUCCGUAACUGGUCUGAGAGGAUGAUCAGUCACACUGGAACUGAGACACGGUCCAGACUCCUACGGGAGGCAGCAGUGGGGAAUAUUGGACAAUGGGCGAAAGCCUGAUCCAGCCAUGCCGCGUGUGUGAAGAAGGUCUUCGGAUUGUAAAGCACUUUAAGUUGGGAGGAAGGGCAGUAAGUUAAUACCUUGCUGUUUUGACGUUACCAACAGAAUAAGCACCGGCUAACUUCGUG
This 484-nucleotide ribosomal RNA is filed under the name uncultured bacterium. Its description in RNAcentral is "partial 16S ribosomal RNA". It matches the Rfam family "Bacterial small subunit ribosomal RNA", at positions 30 to 507 of the family's 1533-position model. The record is from RNAcentral.